Molecule: ribosomal RNA, 838 nt
Filed under: uncultured Psychrobacter sp.
Lineage: Bacteria; Pseudomonadati; Pseudomonadota; Gammaproteobacteria; Moraxellales; Moraxellaceae
Description: bacterial SSU rRNA
Rfam family: Bacterial small subunit ribosomal RNA
Source: RNAcentral
AAGCGUUAAUUCGGAAUUACCUGGCCGUAAAGCGAGCGUAGGUGGCUUGAUAAGUCAGAUGUGAAAUCCCCGGCUUAACCUGGGAACUGCAUCUGAUACUGUUAGGCUAGAAUAGGUGAGAGGAAGGUAGAAUUCCCAGUGUAGCGGUGAAAUGCGUAGAGAUCUGGAGGAAUACCGAUGGCGAAGGCAGCCUUCUGGCAUCAUAUUGACACUGAGGUUCGAAAGCGUGGGUAGCAAACAGGAUUAGAUACCCUGGUAGUCCACGCCGUAAACGAUGUCUACUAGUCGUUGGGUCCCUUGAGGACUUAGUGACGCAGCUAACGCAAUAAGUAGACCGCCUGGGGAGUACGGCCGCAAGGUUAAAACUCAAAUGAAUUGACGGGGGCCCGCACAAGCGGUGGAGCAUGUGGUUUAAUUCGAUGCAACGCGAAGAACCUUACCUGGUCUUGACAUAUCUAGAAUCCUGCAGAGAUGCGGGAGUGCCUUCGGGAAUUAGAAUACAGGUGCUGCAUGGCUGUCGUCAGCUCGUGUCGUGAGAUGUUGGGUUAAGUCCCGCAACGAGCGCAACCCUUGUCCUUAGUUACCAGCGGGUUAAGCCGGGAACUCUAAGGAUACUGCCAGUGACAAACUGGAGGAAGGCGGGGACGACGUCAAGUCAUCAUGGCCCUUACGACCAGGGCUACACACGUGCUACAAUGGUAGGUACAGAGGGCAGCUACACAGCGAUGUGAUGCGAAUCUCAAAAAGCCUAUCGUAGUCCAGAUUGGAGUCUGCAACUCGACUCCAUGAAGUAGGAAUCGCUNNNAAUCGCGGAUCAGAAUGCCGCGGGAAACUNCAR